Molecule: ribosomal RNA, 253 nt
Filed under: uncultured bacterium
Lineage: Bacteria
Description: partial 16S ribosomal RNA
Rfam family: Bacterial small subunit ribosomal RNA
Source: RNAcentral
UACGUAGGGUCCGAGCGUUGUCCGGAAUUAUUGGGCGUAAAGGGCUCGUAGGCGGUUUGUCACGUCGGGAGUGAAAACACGGGGCUUAACCCCGUGCCUGCCUCCGAUACGGGCAGACUAGAGGUAUGCAGGGGAGAACGGAAUUCCUGGUGUAGCGGUGAAAUGCGUAGAUAUCAGGAGGAAUACCGGUGGCGAAAGCGACUCUCUGGACGGCAACUGACGCUGAGGCACGAAAGCGUGGGGAGCAAACAGG